RNAcentral lists this transfer RNA (85 nucleotides) under Felis catus (domestic cat). It matches the Rfam family "tRNA". Rfam says of the family: Transfer RNA (tRNA) molecules are approximately 80 nucleotides in length. Their secondary structure includes four short double-helical elements and three loops (D, anti-codon, and T loops). The record is from Rfam by way of RNAcentral. Lineage: Eukaryota; Metazoa; Chordata; Mammalia; Carnivora; Felidae.
GCCUAGGUGGCUCAGUAGGUUAAGCAUCUGACUUCGGUUCAGGUCACGAUCUCACUGCUUGUGAGUUCGAGCCCCACAUUGGGCU